This 1086-nucleotide ribosomal RNA is filed under the name Triticum aestivum (bread wheat). RNAcentral's name for it is "partial small subunit ribosomal RNA". The record is from RNAcentral. Lineage: Eukaryota; Viridiplantae; Streptophyta; Magnoliopsida; Poales; Poaceae.
AUGGACACCGUUUCGUUAGGUUUUGGCGAUAUCGGGGCGACUGCCCCGCCGCCGCCGCCGCCGCUCGCCCGGCCGGCCGUCAGGCAUGCCGGCACCGUUGUCACAUGCGAUCCUGGAUUGCAUGGUGGCCCUUUUGCGGCUCCGUCCGCCAGUGACUCGGAGGGACGCGGAAGCGGAACUCUCGAGAAGGUUUUCUCCAAGGCUAAAUCGAUGCGAUCUGGGAAGUACGACGGCGCACUGCAUCUGUUCUCUAAGUCCGUUGACGGCAUGAACCUCAUGCUUGGUGUGGAUACUGGCUCUACGGAGAGAUAUAUAAAGAUGUACAGGGUUCCUAUUUUGGCACAGACGGAUCUGAGAGCGAGGGAGCCGCCUGACCGUACAACGACGUACAUCUCCGAAGGCGGUCUGGGCAUGGACAACAUGACGAUGCCGAGGGCAACACCUACUGCUCAGUUGCUGAUGGUCCCUAUGGUGAACUUGGCGACUGGUGGGGGCGAGAACGGGACACCUGAUGAAGGGGUUACCCGCCCGAAGCUAGCCACCGAGGAAUCCCUGGAUCAUGUGGUGGCGAGCCCAGACCUGCAGGCAUCGGUGGAUCAGGCUUUGUCCAAGCGGGCUAAGGUGCUAAAGUUUCAGCUAGCAAAGCAGCAGCCAGAGUGCAGCAAGGUCAGGGAGCUUGCAAAUAACUUUGAUCAGAAGGAUGGAAUUAGUGGGGAAAUUCCAUGGCUCAGGCAGUGUGCGCAUGAGAACAAGAAAACAUCUGCUCCUCUGUGCUCUCAGGAGCUGAUACCUCCGCUGCGUGAAUUAAGUAACCUGGUGAUCAUGUCCUAUGGUGAGGGGAACACGGAGAUGUUUAAUGCUGAACUAAUUCUGGGUAAAAGGACUACUACAAAAAGGAAACAAGUGGUGAACCAGACAGUGCAUGACAAGAUGAUUGUGCUGUAUGAUGAAAGUGCAGUUGGAGGAGUACAGAAGGGUAAGCUGGGGGAGGAGCAGGAAGGUCAGCAAGACGAUAUGGAAGCGACCGGCCCAGGGGCUGCCGGCAACCUGACGGGGCCAUAUGUGGCGCCCCGUCAGGAGCAAUGA